This is a non-coding RNA of Pelobates cultripes (western spadefoot toad), 221 nucleotides long. Lineage: Eukaryota; Metazoa; Chordata; Amphibia; Anura; Pelobatidae. The record is from the annotation of a GenBank genome assembly.
AGUUCCUGUUUUAACCCUCAAAGUGAAGUGUCGUCUCAUUAUUGGGGGAAGGAUUUAUUGUAUGCUGUUCCAGUUUGACUGCUAGGAGAGUAAACCUAUUCGUAUGGUUCCUAUUCAACUGUCUUCAGCAUUCAUAUGCUGGAGAGGAUUCAUAUGCUUCUCCGGUUCGGUGGUUGUGGUGUCUGCUGCAGUGCUUGGAGUCCUCAGGAAGCGCUAGGAGC